This 70-nucleotide transfer RNA is filed under the name Porphyrobacter sp. RNAcentral's name for it is "tRNA-Ser". The record is from RNAcentral. Lineage: Bacteria; Pseudomonadati; Pseudomonadota; Alphaproteobacteria; Sphingomonadales; Erythrobacteraceae.
GCGGAUCGGAAGUGGUCUGACGAGCCUUCUAAGCUUGGAGUUGCAGGUUCGAGUCCUGCCGGGCGCGCCA